This 425-nucleotide ribosomal RNA is filed under the name uncultured bacterium. Its description in RNAcentral is "partial 16S ribosomal RNA". It matches the Rfam family "Bacterial small subunit ribosomal RNA", at positions 354 to 796 of the family's 1533-position model. The record is from RNAcentral.
GUGGGGAAUCUUAGACAAUGGGGGCAACCCUGAUCUAGCCAUGCCGCGUGAGUGAUGAAGGCCUUAGGGUCGUAAAGCUCUUUCGCUGGGGAAGAUAAUGACGGUACCCAGUAAAGAAACCCCGGCUAACUCCGUGCCAGCAGCCGCGGUAAUACGGAGGGGGUUAGCGUUGUUCGGAAUUACUGGGCGUAAAGCGCGCGUAGGCGGAUUGGAAAGUUGGGGGUGAAAUCCCGGGGCUCAACCCUGGAAUGGCCUUCAAAACUCCCAGUCUUGAGGUCGAGAGAGGUGAGUGGAAUUGCGAGUGUAGAGGUGAAAUUCGUAGAUAUUCGGAGGAACACCAGUGGCGAAGGCGGCUCACUGGCUCGAUACUGACGCUGAGGUGCGAAAGCGUGGGGAGCAAACAGGAUUAGAUACCCGAGUAGUCC